CGUGUAGGCGGUCGGCAAAGUCGGAUGUGAAAUCUCUCGGCUCAACCGAGAAACUGCAUUCGAAACUGGUCGACUAGAGUGCGGGAGGGGCAAGUGGAACUCCAGGUGUAGCGGUGAAAUGCGUAGAUAUCUGGAGGAACGCCGGUGGCGAAAGCGACUUGCUGGACCGCAACUGACGCUGAGGCGCGAAAGCCAGGGGGAGCAAACG
This 208-nucleotide ribosomal RNA is filed under the name uncultured bacterium. Its description in RNAcentral is "partial 16S ribosomal RNA". It matches the Rfam family "Bacterial small subunit ribosomal RNA", at positions 568 to 774 of the family's 1533-position model. The record is from RNAcentral.